RNAcentral lists this ribosomal RNA (97 nucleotides) under Lewinella sp. Lineage: Bacteria; Pseudomonadati; Bacteroidota; Saprospiria; Saprospirales; Lewinellaceae. The record is from RNAcentral.
CAAAGGGGUUCACCUCUUCCCAUUCCGAACAGAGAAGUUAAGCCCUUUAGCGCCGAUGGUACUACCUUCGUGGUGGGAGAGUAGGUCACUGCCAACU